GUGCUCUUUUUGGCAGCACAUAUACUAAAAUUGGAAUGAUACAGAGAAGAUUAGCAUGACCUCUGCACAAGGAUGACAUACGAAUUCGAGAAGCGUUCCCUGUUGAC
RNAcentral lists this small nuclear RNA (107 nucleotides) under Myotis davidii. Lineage: Eukaryota; Metazoa; Chordata; Mammalia; Chiroptera; Vespertilionidae. The record is from RNAcentral.